This 346-nucleotide long non-coding RNA is filed under the name Homo sapiens (human). RNAcentral describes it as "HSALNT0404749". The record is from RNAcentral. Lineage: Eukaryota; Metazoa; Chordata; Mammalia; Primates; Hominidae.
CACCACUGUACUCCAGCCUGGGCAACAAGAGAGAGAUUUUGUCUCAAAAAAUAAAUAAAUAAAUAAAUGAAAUUCCAAAUUAUUAUAUACAAAUAUAUAUGCAGCUUUCCAAGGACAAAUGGACUGUUCUAAAAAAAAAAAAGGCCCCCACGGUGGGUGAUGCCUGUAAUCCCAGCACUUUGGGUUGGGAGGCCGAGGCAGGUGGAUCACGAGGUCAGGAGAUCAAGACCAUCCUGGCUAACAUGGUGAAACCCCGUCUCUACUGAAAAAAAGAUACAAAAAAAUUAUCCGGGCGUUGUUGCAGAUGCCUGUCAACCCAGCUACUCAGGAGGCUGAGGCAGGAGAA